This 253-nucleotide ribosomal RNA is filed under the name uncultured bacterium. RNAcentral describes it as "partial 16S ribosomal RNA". It matches the Rfam family "Bacterial small subunit ribosomal RNA", at positions 524 to 776 of the family's 1533-position model. The record is from RNAcentral.
UACAGAGGUCUCAAGCGUUGUUCGGAUUCAUUGGGCGUAAAGGGUGCGUAGGCGGGUCUUUAAGUCAGGGGUGAAAUCCUGGAGCUCAACUCCAGAACUGCCUUUGAUACUGAGGAUCUUGAGUUCGGGAGAGGUGAGUGGAACUGCGAGUGUAGAGGUGAAAUUCGUAGAUAUUCGCAAGAACACCAGUGGCGAAGGCGGCUUACUGGACCGGUUCUGACGCUGAGGCGCGAAAGCGUGGGGAGCAAACAGG